ACAUAUGCAAACUGAUGCCAAAGAACAAAGAUUCUUUGUAGGAGGAGCAUGUGGAGAAGCAACAGAUAAGGAAGAAAGAGAGGGGGAGAAAGAAGAGUCAUUAGUAAGAAAUAGAUAGAGAUGGAGAAAAUCACUAUGGUGGUUGAGGGCUUAUGACAGACUUUGGGAAAGAGGAUGAGAUAGAGAAGUGCAUGAGGAAAAAAAGAAGAAAGAAGAAGAGAUUGCCAACAAAGAAUGGAUAGAGAUGAAAAGAGCCACCAUGAAGGAGAGGGCUCAUGGAUGGGCAUGA
RNAcentral lists this long non-coding RNA (289 nucleotides) under Elaeis guineensis (African oil palm). Its description in RNAcentral is "long non-coding RNA (EGUI_LNC005998)". The record is from RNAcentral. Lineage: Eukaryota; Viridiplantae; Streptophyta; Magnoliopsida; Arecales; Arecaceae.